AUUAGUUGGAAUGUGCUUACAAUUUGUUUUGUGUAUAUAUAUUCGGCUUAUUUCAUUUUGGUUUGUUGACAGACAUCAUGAAAGUUGCGUUCCCGCCUCCAGUCGCGCCAAGGCCUGGGUUAAAGACGAGCCUGGCGCUGAAGCUGACGAGGAGGUCUGAAGCGGCACCAUUUGGGCUUUUUGAGAGAAUUCUUCAAAUGAUUUUGCCCAGACCCCUGCAGUGUCAAGUGAAGGAAGCUCCUCUCAUGAGAAUGCAAAGAGAAAUGAAGAAAGAAAUAGAAUGCUGAAGAUUAAUCCAUAAUUAAGAUCUCAGCUUAGUUUCUGGAAAUGCUUCAAGCAUGAAGAGCUUCAAGGAACUGAUUGACUCUGCUGAGAAAGAUGAUAAGUGAUGAGAAUGGGGCAGCGAUCUUGCAUCAAUUUGUCUCCUCCUUGAUUUGAUUCCACCACCCUGGAAAGACAUGGAAAGAUGUGCUCAUAUCAAGCUGAACAACACCUUGUUGUCUUCAAAAGGAGACCAGCGUACAAGAACACCUUGAUUG
Molecule: non-coding RNA, 539 nt
Organism: Pimephales promelas (fathead minnow)
Lineage: Eukaryota; Metazoa; Chordata; Actinopteri; Cypriniformes; Leuciscidae
Source: RefSeq, a predicted model, not a curated record